Populus euphratica (Euphrates poplar) is the source of this 707-nucleotide long non-coding RNA. RefSeq lists it as uncharacterized. NCBI's taxonomy places the organism in Eukaryota, Viridiplantae, Streptophyta, Magnoliopsida, Malpighiales, Salicaceae. The record is from RefSeq and is a predicted model, not a curated record. The transcript is spliced from 2 exons.
CACCGUACAUGACAAAAACGAUUCACAUGAUACUCUGUGUUGUCCUAUACCAUGUCGGCUCGUGUUCCAAAGAAAGGUGUGUCCUAACAAAAUCGAAAGUCAGAACGUCGAAACUCCCUCUUCCUUGCUUCAUUUCUCUGUUAUCCAACACCAGUCGUCGUCAUCCACAGUUCACAAGGCCGAACAUACACUACAAGAAUCGAAGGUGCGUGCUAGCUUGUUCUCUUUCUGAAGCUGGUCAAGCAUGGGAAACAAACCCACGAAGCAAGAAAGAGAAGACGUGUUUCCGUUGGCCCAGGACAGGCAAGAGAUUCUCUUGAAAGUUGUGCCUCCAUUGGACCAUGCUUAUCUCCGGUGGCUUGCUCGUGAUCUUGAGAGGGUUCAUGGCUUUACUCCAGGAAAUUGCCGGGCAGUGACGCCACCAGAUCAUUAUAUUGAAUAUAUGCGAUUGCAAGGGUGGCUGGAUGUGAACUUGGAUGAUCCUGAUCUGGGUCAUUUGUUUCCAGGUAAAUAGUCAUGUAAUCAAGGCAGGGGGUGAUCCUCUCACAAAGUGUAUUUAGGGGAAUGGAAUUUGCUGAGAAAUUAUCAAAUUAUUAUACGUUUUGCUGUAAAUGCAUUGUAAGAACUUCGGAUAAUUUGUAAUAUCAGAAAUCCCCAAUGGGACAAGAAAUUUUUCAGACAAUCAGAUAUGCCGUCCUGGUAGAGCA